CCCUGUCGUGCUUGACGUUCUAACCUGGGCCCAUUAUCUGGGUCGGGGACCGUGUAUGGUGGGUAGUUUGACUGGGGCGGUCUCCUCCUAAAGAGUAACGGAGGAGCUCGAAGGUACGCUCAGCGCGGUCGGACAUCGCGCACUGUGUGCAAAGGCAUAAGCGUGCUUGACUGCAAGAUCGACGGAUCAAGCAGGUAGGAAACUAGGACUUAGUGAUCCGGUGGUUCUGUAUGGAAGGGCCAUCGCUCAACGGAUAAAAGGUACUCCGGGGAUAACAGGCUGAUACCGCCCAAGAGUUCAUAUCGACGGCGGUGUUUGGCACCUCGAUGUCGGCUCAUCACAUCCUGGGGCUGUAGUCGGUCCCAAGGGUAUGGCUGUUCGCCAUUUAAAGUGGUACGCGAGCUGGGUUCAGAACGUCGUGAGACAGUUCGGUCCCUAUCUGCCAUGGGCGUUGGAGAUUUGAGAGGGGCUGCUCCUAGUACGAGAGGACCGGAGUGGACGAACCUCUGGUGUUCCGGUUGUCACGCCAGUGGCAUUGCCGGGUAGCUAUGUUCGGAAGCGAUAACCGCUGAAAGCAUCUAAGCGGGAAGCGCGCCUCAAGAUGAGAUCUCCCGGGGCACAAGCCCCCUGAAGGAACCAUGUAGACUACGUGGUUGAUAGGUCAGGUGUGUAAGUACAGCAAUGUAUUGAGCUAACUGAUACUAAUGAUCCGUGCGGCUUGACCAU
Molecule: ribosomal RNA, 726 nt
Filed under: Stenotrophomonas maltophilia
Lineage: Bacteria; Pseudomonadati; Pseudomonadota; Gammaproteobacteria; Lysobacterales; Lysobacteraceae
Also listed under: 1 other name
Description: partial 23S ribosomal RNA
Rfam family: Bacterial large subunit ribosomal RNA
Source: RNAcentral